CGCGUUGUCAAAUCGCGUCCGUUGUGUCUGGGACUGUAAGCGUAAAAUACGGCGCAACUGAUAGUGGUCAUGCUUUAGGAAUAUUCGGAGUUACUGUUCUUUUGUAUUUUAUAAAAAUACUGAGUGGUUAAUUUAGGAAUGUUGUCUUCAUGAAUGUAUGCGUGCGGUCGGUCCAUUGUCAUUCAUUUAUAUGGAAUACAAAAGUAAUACUUCUUCUAAAGUUAACUUCAUUGUUGCUCUUAGCUUGUGAAUGUAUUACUAAGCUAUUUUCGCUUCAUAGUAUUUAGUGGUGCCGUGGGUUGCAAUUGUAAGCGUAAAAUACUGCGCAACUGAUGGUGGGCAUGCUGUAGGAAUGUUGUCUUCAGACUUCAUGAUUGUAUGCGUGCGGUCCAUUGUCAUUAUUCAUUUAUAUGGAAUACAAAAAGUAAUGCUAUAAAUUUUGCCAUCAUCAGAACUCAGCAGAGGCCAAUGUUCAAAAUUCUUGCAGUAUUCACUACAACAAACAUUUAUAUCAAUAGCCAUUAGCCCUUAAAAACUGAAACGAAAAUGAAUGGACAAAAUUUUAUGAAUAAUUCACACGGUGCCAUGCAUACUUCCAUAUUCAAAAGAUCAAGAUUUAAUAUCAAUAAUGAUUGUAAGGAGACAUCAAUUUAAAUCUUUUCCUGUACAAUCCUAAAAUGAUUAAAAACAACUGACCUGUAUUGUACUGAAUUGUAUUAAAUUUACCAUGCGAUUAUAACGAAUCAAACGCA
Molecule: non-coding RNA, 752 nt
Organism: Paramuricea clavata
Lineage: Eukaryota; Metazoa; Cnidaria; Anthozoa; Malacalcyonacea; Plexauridae
Source: the annotation of a GenBank genome assembly